RNAcentral lists this ribosomal RNA (413 nucleotides) under uncultured bacterium. RNAcentral describes it as "bacterial SSU rRNA". It matches the Rfam family "Bacterial small subunit ribosomal RNA", at positions 88 to 507 of the family's 1533-position model. The record is from RNAcentral.
UACUCGAGCGGCGAACGGGUGAGUAACACGUGAGUAAUCUGCCCUUGGCUUUGGGAUAACUACCGGAAACGGUGGCUAAUACCGGAUAUGACCAUGCUCGGCAUCGGGUGUGGUGGAAAGUUUUUCGGCCAGGGAUGUGCUCGCGGCCUAUCAGCUUGUUGGUGGGGUAAUGGCCUACCAAGGCUUCGACGGGUAGCCGGCCUGAGAGGGUGACCGGCCACACUGGGACUGAGACACGGCCCAGACUCCUACGGGAGGCAGCAGUGGGGAAUAUUGGACAAUGGGCGGAAGCCUGAUCCAGCAACGCCGCGUGAGGGAUGACGGCCUUCGGGUUGUAAACCUCUUUCAGUACCGACGAAGCGCCGAUGAUGGUGGUGACGGUAGGUACAGAAGAAGCACCGGCCAACUACGUG